GUGCUAUUUUUGACUGUUAAACAAGGUAGUUGGCUGAUAGAUGAAAAUGACGAUACGUAUAUAGAGUAGUUCGGAU
Molecule: transfer RNA, 76 nt
Filed under: Staphylococcus aureus
Lineage: Bacteria; Bacillati; Bacillota; Bacilli; Caryophanales; Staphylococcaceae
Description: tRNA-Val-TAC
Source: RNAcentral